CUUGUUGACUUGGGCUGAGACAUUGGAAAUGUGUUGACGUGGCAAAUUGUCCUUGAAUUGAGAGGCGGCAAGAGGAUUAAAGAGGAAAGGGAACCUCAAAAGUUCGGUUUGGCAAUUUACAUGAACAAGUUUGGAGAAAUCGGUGCCAUUUGAAAAGCUGAGAAGACUUAAUUCUUAAGUUGUUGUGCCAAAGGAAGAUGGCAGAAGAAGAAGAGGGGGAAAGUGAUGAAGUUGCAAGAGAAACAGAAUCUCGGGGAAACAGGGCCCGAGGUGAAGAUUCAAGGUUCUAGGCUAAACUACAAGGAAUUGAUGGCUGAAAUUUUAAGGGAACUUGUGAAUAAGCAGACAGCUGCUUGGGAAGAACAAGCAAACAGCUUGCAAAUGAAUGGGAAUCUCGCUAAAAUUGUAAAGAGGAUCUCGCUCUUGGGGCAAAUCUCGCUGGAAAUAGGAAGGUAUCGAUGGUGUGGUUUGGGCAGAGUAUCGCUGGGAAUUGUGAAGAGGAUCUCGCUCUCGGGGCAAAUCUCGCUAGAAAUGAGAAGGAAUCGCUAGUGUCGUUCUCUUCAGCAUCGCUUGUAAGGCUCUCGCUGGUGAGGCUCUCGCUAGUGUCGCUGGUGAGGCUCUCUCCAGUGUCGCUUAAGUUGAUCUCGCUGGUUCUGCUCUUGGUGAUCUCGCUAGUAAGGCAGUUUGUUGAGGAUGGAAAUUCCGUUGGUUAAUGAGCUGCUUAAGAUAUUUUGCUAGGAAAUUUAAGUAGUUUAAUUGGAGAAAUAUAUUCUUUCAGGCCAUGAAGAGCUAGUAGAAGCUCGUAACCCAUUAAGAGACCAAGAAACUGUGAGUGACUGUGUGAUUUCUUAUUGUUUUACUGGUUUAGUAAAUUAUGAUAUCACUGGAAGUACUUCUCAUGCUAAGUAAAUAAAUGAUGUGCCAAGCAAUAAGAUUAUGAAAUGGUUUCUCAUACUGAGUAGAGUAUGUUUACCAUGGGAUUGAUGUAAAUGGGUUACAUUGUUCAAAUACUUACAGUAGGGUUAAGUAACUCCAUUUUUAUGAUGGUUCUGUAUGAAAGAUGAACUGGUAUUAUGGUCUGAGCACUAAACUGUAAUGUUCAACAAAAUGUUAGUGGCUUGUUGUGUAAUGGAUACUGAAGGACACUUGAGAAGGUACCUGGCCAAUUUGAUACCGAAAGACUUUUAAGAAGGUAUCCGGUCUAAUUGAUACCAAAGAACAUAUGAGAAGGUAUCUAACCAACAUGGUACUGAAGGACACUUCAGAAGGUACCUGGCCAACUUGAUACCGAAGGACUUUUGAGAAGGUAUCCGGCCAAAUUGAUACCGAGGGACAUAUUAGUAGGUAUCUUAACAGCUCGAUACUAAAGGACGUUUGAGAAGGUAUCUGAGCAGGAGUACCUGAGGAUACUGAAGGACUUUUGAGAAGGUAUCCUAGUCAGGUAUAUAUUGUACGACGGUACCUAGUUAUAACUACGUGCGCAUAGGUAAUACGACGUCGAAGGAUUGAGCAAAAGAGUUCUCCAUGAUUAAGGUUGAGAUUGAGGGUUAGAUGUAUUAAGUCAAUGUCAACUAAGAAUAGAGAUAGUCAUACUUCCUUCUAGGCUAGAAGGAUAGACUAGAGUUGUUAAUGCUUGAGAAUGAUCAUCAAUGCUUGAUGUUUAAUAAUGUAUGAGUUUUCCAAGCAUGAUAUACAUGUCUAAUGCAUGCUGGUGGUUCCAUAAGCUAGUCGAAUAUAUUUUAAUUUAGCUAUUUCACCAAAUAUGAAGCAUGUGUUAGGGUUAAGGCUAAGGUUAAAGGAAGCUUAACAUACUACGUUUAAAUAUCUAAACUUCCCAAGGUACAUGUGUUGGUAUUUCAAAGAACAAAUGAGUAGAAAUACUGGUAAGGAAGGUAUCUGAAUAAAUGUACCUAAGAUGUUGACGGCACAUAGUAAACUCCACAUGUAAGUAGGCAAGUGUGAAUGCGAGACCGAGAUAUGGAUCUCUUGGCUAAUAACAGACGUUGAGAGCUAGAGUGGUGUAUGCUCGUUCUCAUCCAAGAUCUAAUGAGUAUUGAUGUAUAGAAGUUGUUAUCUACGUUUAUGUCUUAAGGACGUUGUCUGAGACACCAUCGGAUUGUUUAAAGAGAUCGAUGUAGGGAUCUCUUCUGGCUACAAUUUAAUGUGAACAGGUCGAGGAAGAGGUUUUAUCUGGCCACGGCUUGACGUUGGAAUUAGAGCAGGGUGUGCUCAUUCUCAACUAUGUCUCAAGUUCUUGAAACGAUGGUAACGGUUAGUUCUCAGAAGACGUUUCUGAUACUGCUUUGCCACUCAAAGAGACAAGUUAAAGGAAGUGCAAUUGAAGAUAGUAUUAGCUAGUACACACGUGUCUGAUUAGUGACGAGUAUUCUAGAUGGGGCUCACUAGGUUGUAUUAUUCAUGUGUAAACAAUGUUGCGAAACUCUG
Benincasa hispida (wax gourd) is the source of this 2445-nucleotide long non-coding RNA. RefSeq lists it as uncharacterized. The record is from RefSeq and is a predicted model, not a curated record. Lineage: Eukaryota; Viridiplantae; Streptophyta; Magnoliopsida; Cucurbitales; Cucurbitaceae.